AUGAACGCUGGCGGCGUGCCUAAUACAUGCAAGUCGAGCGAACAGACGAGGAGCUCGCUCCUCUGACGUUAGCGGCGGACGGGUGAGUAACACGUGGAUAACCUACCUAUAAGACUGGGAUAACUUCGGGAAACCGGAGCUAAUACCGGAUAAUAUAUUGAACCGCAUGGUUCAAUAGUGAAAGACGGUUUUGCUGUCACUUAUAGAUGGAUCCGCGCCGCAUUAGCUAGUUGGUAAGGUAACGGCUUACCAAGGCAACGAUGCGUAGCCGACCUGAGAGGGUGAUCGGCCACACUGGAACUGAGACACGGUCCAGACUCCUACGGGAGGCAGCAGUAGGGAAUCUUCCGCAAUGGGCGAAAGCUUGACGGAGCAACGCCGCGUGAGUGAUGAAGGUCUUCGGAUCGUAAAACUCUGUUAUUAGGGAAGAACAAAUGUGUAAGUAACUAUGCACGUCUUGACGGUACCUAAUCAGAAAGCCACGGCUAACUACGUG
Molecule: ribosomal RNA, 496 nt
Filed under: uncultured bacterium
Lineage: Bacteria
Description: partial 16S ribosomal RNA
Rfam family: Bacterial small subunit ribosomal RNA
Source: RNAcentral